AGGCCCCCCACACUGGUACUAAGACACGGACCAGACUCCUACGGGAGGCAGCAGUGAGGAAUAUUGGUCAAUGGCCGAGAGGCUGAACCAGCCAAGUCGCGUGAGGGAAGAAUGUCCUAAGGAUUGUAAACCUCUUUUGUCGGGGAGCAAAAAGGCUCUGCGGAGUCGUAUUGAGAAUACCAGAAGAAAAAGCAUCGGCUAACUCCGUGCCAGCAGCCGCGGUAAUACGGAGGAUGCGAGCGUUAUCCGGAUUUAUUGGGUUUAAAGGGUGCGCAGGCGGCGUGUCAAGCAAGCGGUAAAAUAGCGGGGCUCAACCCCGUCGAGCCGUUUGAACUGGCGCGCUUGAGUUCAGGCGAGGUAGGCGGAAUUCGUGGUGUAGCGGUGAAAUGCAUAGAUAUCACGAAGAACUCCGAUUGCGAAGGCAGCUUACCAGUCUGCGACUGACGCUCAGGCACGAAAGUGUGGGUAUCGAACAGGAUUAGAUACCCUGGUAGUCCACACAGUAAACGAUGAGCGCUAGGUGUCCGGGUCGCAUGAGACUUGGGUGCCCGAGCGAAAGCGUUAAGCGCUCCACCUGGGGAGUACGCCGGCAACGGUGAAACUCAAAGGAAUUGACGGGGGCCCGCACAAGCGGAGGAACAUGUGGUUUAAUUCGAUGAUACGCGAGGAACCUUACCCGGGCUCAAACGACUCAGGAAUAUAUUGGAAACGAUGUAGCCAGCAAUGGUCUGAGUCGAGGUGCUGCAUGGUUGUCGUCAGCUCGUGCCGUGAGGUGUCGGCUUAAGUGCCAUAACGAGCGCAACCCCUACCGCCAGUUGCCAACGGGUAAAGCCGGGAACUCUGGCGGGACUGCCGGCGCAAGCUGCGAGGAAGGCGGGGAUGACGUCAAAUCAGCACGGCCCUUACGUCCGGGGCGACACACGUGUUACAAUGGCAGGUACAGCGGGAAGCCACCUGGUGACAGGGAGCGGAACCCGAAAGCCUGUCUCAGUUCGGAUUGGAGUCUGCAACUCGACUCCAUGAAGCUGGAUUCGCUAGUAAUCGCGCA
This 1048-nucleotide ribosomal RNA is filed under the name uncultured bacterium. RNAcentral's name for it is "bacterial SSU rRNA". It matches the Rfam family "Bacterial small subunit ribosomal RNA", at positions 301 to 1348 of the family's 1533-position model. The record is from RNAcentral.